AAACAAAAAAAAAAAAAAAAUGACAUAUAUAAAGCACCACUCUAGUCAGAUUUUCCCUCGGAAAAAAAAGUGCUUUAAUUUAAAAUCGGAGCGCAAUUGCCGGUAGAUAAAUUGUCCGCAGAAAGAAAUAUGAAAUACACACCAUUGUAAAACCAAAACAUUUCUCGCUCCACUCGAAACCUAAAAUACAGUUUAAUUGCCGGCGCAGUCACAAAACUCAC
This is a non-coding RNA of Cinara cedri, 221 nucleotides long. Lineage: Eukaryota; Metazoa; Arthropoda; Insecta; Hemiptera; Aphididae. The record is from the annotation of a GenBank genome assembly.